AGUGAACGCUGGCGGUAGGCCUAACACAUGCAAGUCGAACGGCAGCACAGUAAGAGCUUGCUCUUACGGGUGGCGAGUGGCGGACGGGUGAGAAAUACAUCGGAAUCUACUUUUUCGUGGGGGAUAACGUAGGGAAACUUACGCUAAUACCGCAUACGACCUACGGGUGAAAGCAGGGGAUCUUCGGACCUUGCGCGAUUGAAUGAGCCGAUGUCGGAUUAGCUAGUUGGCGGGGUAAAGGCCCACCAAGGCGACGAUCCGUAGCUGGUCUGAGAGGAUGAUCAGCCACACUGGAACUGAGACACGGUCCAGACUCCUACGGGAGGCAGCAGUGGGGAAUAUUGGACAAUGGGCGCAAGCCUGAUCCAGCCAUACCACGUGGGUGAAGAAGGCCUUCGGGUUGUAAAGCCCUUUUGUUGGGAAAGAAAAGCAGCAGGUUAAUACCCCGCUGUUCUGACGGUACCCAAAGAAUAAGCACCGGCUAACUUCGUG
Molecule: ribosomal RNA, 492 nt
Filed under: uncultured bacterium
Lineage: Bacteria
Description: partial 16S ribosomal RNA
Rfam family: Bacterial small subunit ribosomal RNA
Source: RNAcentral